This 460-nucleotide ribosomal RNA is filed under the name uncultured bacterium. RNAcentral's name for it is "partial 16S ribosomal RNA". It matches the Rfam family "Bacterial small subunit ribosomal RNA", at positions 338 to 795 of the family's 1533-position model. The record is from RNAcentral.
CCUACGGGAGGCAGCAGUGAGGAAUAUUGGUCAAUGGACGAGAGUCUGAACCAGCCAAGUAGCGUGAAGGAUGACUGCCCUAUGGGUUGUAAACUUCUUUUAUAUGGGAAUAAAAUGUUCCACGUGUGGGAUUUUGUAUGUACCAUAUGAAUAAGGAUCGGCUAACUCCGUGCCAGCAGCCGCGGUAAUACGGAGGAUCCGAGCGUUAUCCGGAUUUAUUUGGUUUAAAGGGAGCGUAGGUGGAUUGUUAAGUCAGUUGUGAAAGUUUGCGGCUCAACCGUAAAAUUGCAGUUGAAACUGGCAGUCUUGAGUACAGUAGAGGUGGGCGGAAUGCGUGGUGUAGUGGUGAAAUGCUUAGAUAUCGCGAAGAACUCCGAUUGCGAAGGCAGCUCACUGGACUGCAACUGACACUGAGGCUCGAAAGUGUGGGUAUCAAACAGGAUUAGAUACCCCUGUAGUC